Molecule: unclassified non-coding RNA, 215 nt
Filed under: soil metagenome
Description: partial contains 5.8S ribosomal RNA, internal transcribed spacer 2, and large subunit ribosomal RNA
Source: RNAcentral
AACCUAGCACACCUGCGGUGUGUACCUGCGGAGGGAUCAUUACAUGAUUUAACAGGGAGUGGAGGCUUCGGCCAAAGCUCUGUCUGAACCCAUGUCUUUUGCGUACUUCUUGUUUCCUCGGUGGGCUUGCCCACCGAUAGGACAACCUUAAACUCUUUGCAAUUGCAAUCAGCGUCUGAAAAACUAUAAUAGUUACAACUUUUAACAACGGAUCU